Molecule: non-coding RNA, 180 nt
Filed under: Kangiella geojedonensis
Lineage: Bacteria; Pseudomonadati; Pseudomonadota; Gammaproteobacteria; Kangiellales; Kangiellaceae
Description: Kangiella sp. YCS-5 6S / SsrS RNA
Rfam family: 6S / SsrS RNA
About the family: E. coli 6S RNA was the first non coding RNA to be sequenced, but its function was unknown until recently. It consists of 184 nucleotides that fold into an extended hairpin structure with a large single-stranded internal bulge.
Source: Rfam by way of RNAcentral
CUCUGCCUGGACUGUUCGUCAGUAGCGAGCGUCCUCGAGCCGAUAAUUGUUAUUUAGGGAUUCCUCAAUGCAGGUGUUGCGCAAGUCCGCUUAGAUCGGAAAGCCUGAUCCUGUACAUGGACUCCCCCCUUGAAACUCCGGGUUUCAGGGCAUCACCUACAACGGCAGUCUGGGUUUCUA